Molecule: ribosomal RNA, 301 nt
Filed under: uncultured bacterium
Lineage: Bacteria
Description: partial 16S ribosomal RNA
Rfam family: Bacterial small subunit ribosomal RNA
Source: RNAcentral
CAGUAGCCGCGGUAAUACGUAGGGUGCAAGCGUUAAUCGGAAUUACUGGGCGUAAAGCGUGCGCAGGCGGUUUGUUAAGACAGAUGUGAAAUCCCCGGGCUCAACCUGGGAACUGCAUUUGUGACUGGCAAGCUAGAGUGUGGCAGAGGGGGGUGGAAUUCCGCGUGUAGCAGUGAAAUGCGUAGAUAUGCGGAGGAACACCGAUGGCGAAGGCAAUCCCCUGGACCUGUACUGACGCUCAUGCACGAAAGCGUGGGGAGCAAACAGGAUUAGAUACCCCCGUAGUCCCUGUCUCUUAUAC